This 305-nucleotide ribosomal RNA is filed under the name uncultured bacterium. RNAcentral's name for it is "bacterial SSU rRNA". It matches the Rfam family "Bacterial small subunit ribosomal RNA", at positions 337 to 634 of the family's 1533-position model. The record is from RNAcentral.
UCCUACGGGACGCAGCAGUAGGGAAUCUUGGGCAAUGGGCGAAAGCCUGACCGAGCAACGCCGCGUGAAUGAUGAAGGCCUUCGGGUUGUAAAAUUCUGUUAUAAGGGAAGCAAGGUGAUAGGAGGAAAUGACUAUCAAUUGACGGUACCUUAUGAGAAAGCCACGGCUAACUACGUGCCAGCAGCUGCGGUAAUACGUAGGUGGCAAGCGUUAUCCGGAAUUAUUGGGCGUAAAGAGCGCGCAGGUGGUUGAUUAAGUCUGAUGUGAAAGCCCACGGCUUAUCCGUGGAGGGUCAUAGGAAACU